This 314-nucleotide unclassified non-coding RNA is filed under the name uncultured Eutypella. Its description in RNAcentral is "sequence contains ITS1". The stretch from base 1 to 105 matches the Rfam family "5.8S ribosomal RNA", at positions 50 to 154 of the family's 154-position model. The record is from RNAcentral. Lineage: Eukaryota; Fungi; Ascomycota; Sordariomycetes; Xylariales; Diatrypaceae.
GAAAUGCGAUAAGUAAUGUGAAUUGCAGAAUUCAGUGAAUCAUCGAAUCUUUGAACGCACAUUGCGCCCAUUAGUAUUCUAGUGGGCAUGCCUGUUCGAGCGUCAUUUCGACCAUCAAGCCCUAUUUGCUUGGCGUUGGGAGCUUAGCCUGCUGUUGCGGGAUAACUCCUCAAAUAUAUUGGCGGAGUCGCGAAGACCCCAAGCGUAGUAAUUUUUUCUCGCUUCCGGUGUGUCGGCGCUGGCGUCCAGCCACUAAACCCCCAAAUUUUUAAAGGUUUGACCUCGGAUCAGGUAGGAAUACCCGCUGAACUUAA